RNAcentral lists this ribosomal RNA (389 nucleotides) under uncultured bacterium. RNAcentral describes it as "bacterial SSU rRNA". It matches the Rfam family "Bacterial small subunit ribosomal RNA", at positions 30 to 417 of the family's 1533-position model. The record is from RNAcentral.
AUUGAACGCUGGCGGCAUGCCUUACACAUGCAAGUCGAACGGCAGCGGACCUUCGGGUGCCGGCGAGUGGCGAACGGGUGAGUAAUAUAUCGGAAACGUACCUUUUCAGUGGGGGAUAACGUAGCGAAAGUUACGCUAAUACCGCAUAUUCUGUGAGCAGGAAAGCAGGGGAUCGCAAAGACCUUGCGCUGAUUGAGCGGCCGAUAUCAGAGUUAGCUAGUUGGUGAGGUAAAGGCUCACCAAGGCGACGAUCUGUAGCGGGUCUGAGAGGAUGAUCCGCCACACUGGAACUGAGACACGGUCCAGACUCCUACGGGAGGCAGCAGUGGGGAAUUUUGGACAAUGGGCGCAAGCCUGAUCCAGCCAUGCCGCGUGAGUGAAGAAGGCCU